Molecule: long non-coding RNA, 587 nt
Filed under: Mytilus galloprovincialis (Mediterranean mussel)
Lineage: Eukaryota; Metazoa; Mollusca; Bivalvia; Mytilida; Mytilidae
Source: RNAcentral
UCACGUUGUAUUGGAUUUUUAAAUUAAAAUUUGUCAAAAGUAAUUUUGAGUUUCUGUAUAAAAUAUUUUUCUGCUUUUUCUUUCUUUUACAUAUAUCUUUUGGUUUACAAUUCUAGUGAUUAUAUUCAUUUACCAUGCAUAGAUUUAUUUUUUCACCUGCUUUGAUUUAUUUUGUAAAUGAUCGCCAAACCCGGAAUUAUCCUUAUCCGCUUCCGGAAUCGGAUCCGAUAUUGUAAAAUUUUGUCUUCACGGCCGCCAUUGUUAUCUGUUUACAAUGUUGUUUUUGUCAAUCAGAUACGAUUUUACUCGAAUUUAUACAAUAUUUGUCGGCGAUUUUCUGUAUAAAGCUAGCGGUUGAACAAAAUGAACAUUGCUGUCAUGAAUAAUAAUGAUAAAAAUAAGUUUUUAGCUCGUUUAAUUGGAGACUUUGGUGACUUGCAUGGAAGGUUGGCAAAGUAAUUUCUUAUUUUCUUUCAAGUGGAAGGUCACUACGUCGGGCGUAGCUAGAAACCAACUAUCCUAGUCGAAAUUCUGCUUGCAAAAGUGGAAGGUCGCGGACCUCGGACCACCGCUAAUUUGCACACCUG